Molecule: ribosomal RNA, 274 nt
Filed under: uncultured bacterium
Lineage: Bacteria
Description: partial 16S ribosomal RNA
Rfam family: Bacterial small subunit ribosomal RNA
Source: RNAcentral
AUACGGAGGGAGCGAGCGUUAAUCGGAAUUACUGGGCGUAAAGCGCGCGUAGGCGGCUUUGUAAGUCGGAUGUGAAAUCCCCGGGCUUAACCUGGGAAUUGCAUUCGAUACUGCAUGGCUAGAGUAUGGUAGAGGGUAGUGGAAUUCCAGGUGUAGCGGUGAAAUGCGUAGAUAUCUGGAGGAACAUCAGUGGCGAAGGCGGCUACCUGGACUAAUACUGACACUGAGGUGCGAAAGCGUGGGGAGCAAACAGGAUUAGAAACCCCGGUAGUCC